GUGGGGAAUCUUGCACAAUGGGGGAAACCCUGAUGCAGCGACGCCGCGUGAGCGAUGAAGCCCUUCGGGGUGUAAAGCUCUUUCGGCAGGAACGAUAAUGACGGUACCUGAAGAAGAAGCUGCGGCUAACUACGUGCCAGCAGCCGCGGUAAUACGUAGGCAGCGAGCGUUGUUCGGAGUUACUGGGCGUAAAGAGUGCGUAGGCGGUCCUUUAAGUUCGGUGUGAAAUCUCCCGGCUCAACCGGGAGGGUGCGCCGAAAACUGGAGGGCUUGAGUGCGGGAGAGGAGAGCGGAAUUCCUGGUGUAGCGGUGAAAUGCGUAGAUAUCAGGAGGAACACCUGUGGUGCAGACGGCUCUCUGGACCGCAACUGACGCUGAGGCACGAAAGCGUGGGUAGCAAACAGGAUUAGAAACCCUAGUAGUCC
Molecule: ribosomal RNA, 425 nt
Filed under: uncultured bacterium
Lineage: Bacteria
Description: bacterial SSU rRNA
Rfam family: Bacterial small subunit ribosomal RNA
Source: RNAcentral